Molecule: ribosomal RNA, 253 nt
Filed under: uncultured bacterium
Lineage: Bacteria
Description: partial 16S ribosomal RNA
Rfam family: Bacterial small subunit ribosomal RNA
Source: RNAcentral
UACGUAGGGACCGAGCGUUGUCCGGAUUCAUUGGGCGUAAAGAGCUCGUAGGCGGCUGCUCAAGUCGAAUGUGAAAACUCGAGGCUCAACCUCGAGCCUGCAUUCGAUACUGGGCGGCUAGAGUCUGGUAGGGGGAUCUGGAAUUCCUGGUGUAGCGGUGGAAUGCGCAGAUAUCAGGAGGAACACCGAUGGCGAAGGCAGUUCUCUGGGCCUUACCUGACGCUGAGGCGCGAAAGCUAGGGGAGCGAACAGG